This is a long non-coding RNA of Halichondria panicea, 268 nucleotides long. RefSeq lists it as uncharacterized. Lineage: Eukaryota; Metazoa; Porifera; Demospongiae; Suberitida; Halichondriidae. The transcript has 3 exons. The record is from RefSeq and is a predicted model, not a curated record.
GCCUCACCAUGAAGCCGGCGUAUGUUAGGCGUAUCUCUCUGGCGCUGCGGUGCCUCUAAAGCUAAGCAACUAUGUCUUCAUGAUUCAAUCCAAAUGACAACCAAGAUCACAUGAAGACCCACUGACUGCGAGCUAUGAUAACUGUGCCAGACAACGUUGACUGCAUCCACUCAGAGAUAUCUCUGAUCCACUCAAUUCUCUGAUGCCAUUCAUGGAGGACCAAGCAAGAAUCAACGGCAUGCAGCACUGAGGGAGGGGAUCUUCUCAC